RNAcentral lists this ribosomal RNA (404 nucleotides) under Actinomycetes bacterium. Its description in RNAcentral is "Actinobacteria bacterium partial 16S ribosomal RNA". It matches the Rfam family "Bacterial small subunit ribosomal RNA", at positions 355 to 776 of the family's 1533-position model. Lineage: Bacteria; Bacillati; Actinomycetota; Actinomycetes. The record is from RNAcentral.
UGGGGAAUAUUGGACAAUGGGCGCAAGCCUGAUCCAGCCAUGCCGCGUGAGUGAUGAAGGCCCUAGGGUUGUAAAGCUCUUUCACCGGUGAAGAUAAUGACGGUAACCGGAGAAGAAGCCCCGGCUAACUUCGUGCCAGCAGCCGCGGUAAUACGAAGGGGGCUAGCGUUGUUCGGAUUUACUGGGCGUAAAGCGCACGUAGGCGGACUUUUAAGUCAGGGGUGAAAUCCCGGGGCUCAACCCCGGAACUGCCUUUGAUACUGGAAGUCUUGAGUAUGGUAGAGGUGAGUGGAAUUCCUAGUGUAGAGGUGAAAUUCGUAGAUAUUCGGGGGAACACCAGUGGCGAAGGCGGCUCACUGGACCAUUACUGACGCUGAGGUGCGAAAGCGUGGGGAGCAAACAGG